GUGAUACGGAAGUGGAACUCUUUGUUAUUUUCCCAGAGUCAGAAGGAAGGCAUAAGCAUCCCACUUGAGGAAAAUAUCAUGCCUAUAAGCCCAGUUUCUCCCAGAUGUUCACUCAGGUCAUUCCUGAUGAGGUUCUCUUUAGACCUGCUGAAAGGAUGGCUUCUAUCUUCAGAUACAAAGUGUUUCUAUUGCUCCUUGCUGCUGCUGUUCUGUGAUCCAGUGAGUGAUGAAUGUGUCCUAAAGAUGGAGAAUCUCUUCCAGCUGCUGGUCAGGCUGGCUUGCACCCUCUUGCUGUAUAAAAUGCAAGUUUCUGUCAUUGAAGUUUAACCAAUAGGAUUUAUGCCAGACCAAGUGUUAGCUGUUGAACUAUCCCUUGUUAGAGCUGAAGUAGUUGCUCUACUCCAUUUUGUCAAUUAAGAUUCUGUAUAUGCUCUUAUUUCUACUACCUCUGAACACUGCCAUUUUUGGCUUUGUUACCUCCUUGGUCUUCUAGUAGACGUGAUCUCCAUUAGAUUUAGGAGCACAAAGUCAGACUCAUGCUUUGUGCAAUGCAAUGACCUUCUGUACACUGCAUUACAUCUCUGCAGUACUGCACUUUCAAAGAGGAUUUAGAUUGAUUCUUGUCUAUUAAGCUCAUAAGAUCUCACUGUUUGUAAACAGUGCUGUUUUAAAGUUGAUUUUUGUUGCAGUUUAAUCUUUGUGAAGCUUUCACGUUUUGAUUGGACUUGUCUAAAUAUUUUUUAUUUUACCAUAAGUUUAAACAAGUACAUCAAGCAGCCUUUCUAUUUGGAUGCAUGUGAUGUUUAUCUUGGGUAUCCCAU
RNAcentral lists this long non-coding RNA (821 nucleotides) under Phasianus colchicus (ring-necked pheasant). Its description in RNAcentral is "lncRNA (ENSPCLG00000010440.1)". The record is from RNAcentral. Lineage: Eukaryota; Metazoa; Chordata; Aves; Galliformes; Phasianidae.